AUUGAACGCUGGCGGCAUGCCUUACACAUGCAAGUCGAACGGCAGCACGGGGGCGAACCCUGGUGGCGAGUGGCGAACGGGUGAGUAAUACAUCGGAAUGUACCCAGUAGUGGGGGGAUAACUAGUCGAAAGAUUAGCUAAUACCGCAUACGCACUAUGGUGGAAAGCGGGGGAUCGCAAGACCUUGCGCUAUUAGAUGAGCUUGCGUCCGAUUAGCUAGUUGGUGGGGUAAAGGCCUACCAAGGCGACGAUCGGUAACUGGUCUGAGAGGAUGAUCAGUCACACUGGAACUGAGACACGGUCCAGACUCCUACGGGAGGCAGCAGUGGGGAAUAGUUGGACAAUGGGGGCAACCCUGAUCCAGCCAUGCCGCGUGUGUGAAGAAGGCC
RNAcentral lists this ribosomal RNA (389 nucleotides) under uncultured bacterium. RNAcentral's name for it is "bacterial SSU rRNA". It matches the Rfam family "Bacterial small subunit ribosomal RNA", at positions 30 to 416 of the family's 1533-position model. The record is from RNAcentral.